This 451-nucleotide ribosomal RNA is filed under the name uncultured bacterium. RNAcentral's name for it is "bacterial SSU rRNA". It matches the Rfam family "Bacterial small subunit ribosomal RNA", at positions 340 to 784 of the family's 1533-position model. The record is from RNAcentral.
UACGGGAGGCAGCAGUGGGGAAUAUUGCACAAUGGGCGCAAGCCUGAUGCAGCCAUGCCGCGUGUAUGAAGAAGGCCUUCGGGUUGUAAAGUACUUUCAGUCGUGAGGAAGGUGUUAAGGUUAAUAACCUUAGCAAUUGACGUUAGCGACAGAAGAAGCACCGGCUAACUCCGUGCCAGCAGCCGCGGUAAUACGGAGGGUGCGAGCGUUAAUCGGAAUUACUGGGCUAAAGGGCACGCAGGCGGUUAAUAAGUUGGAUGUGAAAUCCCCGGGCUUAACCUGGGAAUGGCAUUCAAGACUGGUUAGCUAGAGUCUUGUAGAGGGGGUAGAAUUCCAUGUGUAGCGGUGAAAUGCGUAGAGAUGUGGAGGAAUACCGGUGGCGAAGGCGGCCCCUGGGACAAAGGACUGACGCUCAUGUGCGAAAGCGUGGGGAGCAAACGAGGAUUAGAUA